This 550-nucleotide ribosomal RNA is filed under the name uncultured bacterium. Its description in RNAcentral is "bacterial SSU rRNA". It matches the Rfam family "Bacterial small subunit ribosomal RNA", at positions 8 to 540 of the family's 1533-position model. The record is from RNAcentral.
AGAGUUUGAUCCUGGCUCAGGAUGAACGCUGGCGGCGUGCCUAAUACACGCAAGUCGAACGCACAGCGAAAGGUGCUUGCACCUUUCAAGUGAGUGGCGAACGGGUGAGUAACACGUGGACAACCUGCCUCAAGGCUGGGGAUAACAUUUGGAAACAGAUGCUAAUACCGAAUAAAACUCAGUGUCGCAUGACACAAAGUUAAAAGGCGCUUUGGCGUCACCUAGAGAUGGAUCCGCGGUGCAUUAGUUAGUUGGUGGGGUAAAGGCCUACCAAGACAAUGAUGCAUAGCCGAGUUGAGAGACUGAUCGGCCACAUUGGGACUGAGACACGGCCCAAACUCCUACAGAAGGCUGCAGUAGGGAAUCUUCCACAAUGGGCGAAAGCCUGAUGGAGCAACGCCGCGUGUGUGAUGAAGGCUUUCGGGUCGUAAAGCACUGUUGUAUGGGAAGAACAGCUAGAAUAGGGAAUGAUUUUAGUUUGACGGUACCAUACCAGAAAGGGACGGCUAAAUACGUGCCAGCAGCCGCGGUAAUACGUAUGUCCCGAGCG